AUUAAGGACGGCACAGUGUCCUUGUAAUGUGGAUCCAGCUGGGUGGCCACCCAGUAAUCAGCACAAGUUAGAAUGUGGGCAACUUGGCAGUCAUUGUGCAGGAACUUUGGUGACUCUAGAUAACGUCGGGCCGAUCGCACGUCCCCGUUACGGUGACGAUGCAUUCGGAUGUCUGCCCUAUCAACUUUUGAUGGUACUUUCUGCACCUACCAUGGUAACCACAGGUAAUGGGGAAUCAGGGUUCAAUUCA
Non-coding RNA from Pelobates cultripes (western spadefoot toad), 250 nucleotides. NCBI's taxonomy places the organism in Eukaryota, Metazoa, Chordata, Amphibia, Anura, Pelobatidae. The record is from the annotation of a GenBank genome assembly.